GAUGAACGCUGGCGGCGUGCCUAAUACAUGCAAGUCGAGCGAACGGACGAGAAGCUUGCUUUUCUGAUGUUAGCGGCGGACGGGAGAGUAACACGUGGAUAACAUACCUAUAAGACUGGGAUAACUUCGGGAAACCGGAGCUAAUACCGGAUAAUAUUUUGAACCGCAUGGUUCCAGCGUGAAAGACGGUCUUGCUGUCACUUAUAGAUGGAUCCGCGCUUCAUUAGCUAGUUGGUAAGGUGACGGCUUACCAAGGCAACGAUGCAUAGACGACCUGAGAGGGUGAUCGGCCACACGGUAACUGAGACACGGCCCAGACUCCUACGGUAGGCAGCAGUAGGGAAUCUUCCGCAAUGGGCGAAAGCCUGACGUAGCAACGCCGCGUGAGUGAUGAAGGUCUUCGGAUCGGAAAACUCUGUUAUUAGUGAAGAACAUAUGUGUAAUUAACUGUGCACAUCUUGACGGUACCGAAUCAGAAAGCCACGGCUAACUACGUG
This 497-nucleotide ribosomal RNA is filed under the name uncultured bacterium. RNAcentral's name for it is "partial 16S ribosomal RNA". It matches the Rfam family "Bacterial small subunit ribosomal RNA", at positions 28 to 507 of the family's 1533-position model. The record is from RNAcentral.